GAAAAAUGUAAUUAGCAUUUCGUUUGAAUCCCUCUUGGAGAAGUUUUCGGCCAAUUUUGGAGAUCUAAAUCAUAAUUUAGAUCUAUUUUACACCACGCCUGAAAAUGCCCUUAUGAAAACAAAACACAACUUAGGAAAAUGACAGAGAAACUGGGCCACGUUGUUGUUCUCAGUAGACUGAUAAAUCCACUGGUUUUAAGACAAUCUUAAUAAUAAUUUCCCCUAUCAAAUGUUUGGACAUAUUAAGAAAUCGUGCAACAACAUACGAUAUCAUAGAAACAAAAACAUGAAAACAAAUUAUUAUAUAAGCAGACAGAGUUCGUUUUUUAAGUACAAGUUCAACAAACUACUAUUCAAAAUAUUGUCCAAAAAGUUAGUCGGAAUUCUGAAAUGUAUAUGGUCUAAUUCAGUGACCUCAAAUUUUACAAGUUUUUGACUUGGCAAAGCUACAUGAUCUGACGUUCUGGUUUUUCCCGUGGAAUACAAGAAGAGUUGCUGGGCUUUCCUACCUCAUCUGAUCGGGAUAAUUCUAGAAUUUGAUUUUUCGACAGCCGGCAGGUAAAGGAACUUUUUCUUGAUCAUUCUUUGCUGUUUGUGAAAUUAAAGCUAAAGGGAGAAAAGUCUGUCAAGAAC
This 633-nucleotide long non-coding RNA is filed under the name Olea europaea subsp. europaea. Lineage: Eukaryota; Viridiplantae; Streptophyta; Magnoliopsida; Lamiales; Oleaceae. The record is from RNAcentral.